UGCAGUUUGUUGACGUGGCCUGUGGAGUUAUGGCAGACGACACCAGUCCAUUCACAGCAAUCCCCACCUUCAACCCAUGACGAUAGCCUGUUUGAAGGAUCAAUAAGAUGAUGCUUGAAUUUCAAAAGAGCUUCUCUCUCACUCUGAAUGCAAAGUAGGUUGGAAUUGGCAUGACAAAUGGUAAAACAGACAGCGGGAAUGAGAAGAAGAAUAGGGAAAAAGGAAAUAGGAAGAGGAGUAGUCAUGGUUGCAAUUGCCAUGGCUCACAACUCCAAAUAUAUAGAGUAAGCUUUAGCUAAAACACAAAAAUGCAUGAAGCGCAAGGAAGUUUCUUCCAACAAAAUGCAUUAAAUUCGAAAUUUAUUUAUCCACAAAAGGUUAUAAAGUUGAGUCAAACAAAAGUCUACUAAAAGCUAAAGGAGAAAAAAGAGAAGGAAAAGCUAAUGGCAAACACGGAAUUUGAGUAAGAAAAGCAAAAUUUUGAUAAGGAACUUUUAUCUUUAUAUUCCUGUAUCAACAAAACAUAAAGUUUAGAAGCGGGUCAACUUAACCAAGUCUACGGAGUCAGAUAUUUUUCAGUAUAAAUUACACCAAGGUCACACUAAAAUGUGGUUUGUCCUAUUUUGGCCACUUUAAUUUUUUUCUCAAUUUAGUUAUUCUUGUUAAAAUAAUUAUUUAAACUAGUCACUCGCGUUAAUCAAUUUGUCCUGUUAAAAUAUAAACGUAAUUUUUAAUCCACAAUACAAUAAGUGAAUCACAUUCUAUCACUCCCAAAGUAGAAAUCCAACCAUUGUACCUAAAGACUAGAACAUUCACAUCUAAAUUCUCUAUAUUAUUCAUAAUCUAGACAAGCCUCCAUAGAUAUGUCAAUUUCGACUUGCAAACAUAAAAUCUAAAUGAAAACAAAGCAACUCAUUGAUAAUAGCAAUUACAAUCAAACCAAUAGAAGCAACUCCUUGACAAUUUGUUAACUUUGCUAAUGGGGCAUACUCGUGGAUUGCCACAUAGAUGACAUGUCAGCAUUUAAUUAAUUCUAUAAAAUUUAAAAUUUUAUAAAAUUUUUUUAAAAUUAAAAAUCAUUAAAAUAAUAUGUGGAUCAAAUUGAGACCAUUUGUAAACUUUGAGGGUUAAUUUUUAAAAUUAUGGCUAAAUCAAUAUAAUAUGUAAAAAUUAAGGGCUAAAUUUGUUAUUAUCAAUUUUUUAAUUGCUACGUUAUCCUCUCGUAAGAGAUUUAACAACACUUAAUGGAAAUGGACCAAAAAAAAUCUUGUUUAUUUGGAUGACCAAAUUAAAAAAUUGUUAGUAAAAUGAUCAAAACAGAAAAAGGAUAAUAUACAUAUAGCCGUGGUAUAGUUUAUCCUAUAAAUAAAUAAAUAAAUCGUGUAAAAUCUUGUAGGUAUGCACCCAAACUCUUUAAAUAUAGCAAAAUAUCUCAACAUAAGGUUAUUAUUCAAAUCUAUUAGACGUAUAGAAUUUUGGCUUAGCUCCCCAAAAUUCGAAUUGCCUGCAUAUAACGAAUAAUAAAGGUUGAAGCUUUUGCCCUUGCCCAUGCCUUAACCAUGCCAUACAUCCACAUAUAACGAAUUAUACAGGUUGAAGCUUUUGCCCUUGCCCAUGCCUUAACCAUGCCAUACAUCCAUUCUUAUUUAUAUAUGUUCAUUCCUCUUUAGUUAUGGUUGGUUAUCGUUGAUAGUUGCCAUAGAUCCAUUGUUGAGAAAAUGGUGAAAGGCAUGUAGCUUUGAGAUGCCUGUUCUGGUUUCUCCUUUUUGAGUUAAAGAGAGAAGAGAAAAGGAAAAAAAAAGUGUUGGAUUUGUCGAAACUAUUUUUUUGUAAACGGAGGUCGACUUUAAUUUUGUUAAUGAAAACGAACACAGGAGUCGCCGCCAAUUCUUUUUUGUGAGGUGUGAUUGAAUCACCUUGUAAUUUGAUUGUUUUAAAUAAACGGUUUGAUUCACUAAAACAAUAUUUUUCGGUCCACAAAAAUCCAGAAAAUGGGUUUGGGAGUCGGUUACGUACGAGGAAGGGAUUAUCACCCUCGUUACACCCAAAAUUGGUAACUAAUUGAUUACUCAAUGUCUUAAUGUCGAAAGUUGAAAAUUCGAAAAGAAAUUUAAAAUAUGAUCCCUUUUUAUUAAUUUUAUUAAAAAAAUGAUUGAAUAAAUCAAAAAGAGAGUUAAAGACCAACUCGUCUCAAAGUAACGAAAUAUCACAUCCCAUAAGUUAGGACACAAUAUUUGGAGCCUUUGAAAAUAAGCUUGCCUUUAAUUUUUAUUGAAAUUUCGCAUUUUGAAAUUUAAAAGGAUAUUUUACUAUUUAGGUUUAAUGAGAAAAUCGAAACCCCGUAAGGUAGGGUAUGAUUUCUCGAGUUUUCGAAAUGCGAAAUAUUGCCUUUAUUUUCAAAAUUUUCCUUUUUUGAAUUUAGGUAAAAAUUAAUGUAAUGUUUAAAAUGAUAUGUUUAGUUUAUUCGAUUAUGGCAUAAAGACAGUUACAACAUAAAAAAGCGUCUUGGAGUAAUAAUGGCAUUGAUAUUGCUAAAUGAUAAUGUUAAUAUGCAUAAACAAUAAUAAUGAUGAAAACGAUAAUAUAAAUAACAAUAACGAUAAUAACAAUGAUGAUGAUAAUAAUAAUAAUGAUAAUAAUAAUCUAAGUUUUGAAAGUACAUAAAAAGUAAUAAAUAAGUAACAAUAAUAAGGGCAAAAAUAAAAAAAAACAAGCCAAUUAAAAAUAAUAAUAAUAAGUAAGUAAAUAAAUAAAAACUAAUAUAAGUUUGAUUAAAAAUUGAAAAUAAAUAAAUAAAUAAAAUAUUAAAUGAAAUAAUAAAUAAAACCAUUUUUUUAAAUAAUAAAAAAGGUUGAAGUUAAACAGACUAAGGAUUGAAUUGAAACCGAAAUGAAAUUCGAGGUACAAAUUAAAAAUAAUAAAAAUGGACUAACAAGGAUAAAAAUAAAACGCGUUAAAAAUGACAGGGACCAAGUGGCAAAAUAUCCCUUGUCCUUAUGCGUGUCGUUUCUUAAGGGACGAGAAUGAAAUAAAUAAAAAAUUAUCGGGAAAAAUAAAAAAAACAAAAAGGGCUAAAUUGCAACUAGCCGCAAAGGUAGAAGGACCGCACGCGAAAAUAACCCAUGCUCUAGAAAACACGCGGAUUCUCUAGGCAAAUGGGUCGGGUCACAGGUCAGAGGCCAAAACGAAUAACCCAUGCUCUAGAAAACACGCGGAUCCUCUAGGCAAAUGGGUCGGGUUAAUAUGCCACAUCAAUAAUUCGUUAGUGGAUUAACGAAAUUUUUAACACAAUGACUAGUUCGAUUAAUUAUCUUAAUUAAAGUGAUUAAAUUGAAAAAAAAAUAGAGUGGACAAACUCUAUUUUAAAGUGACCUUGAGUGUAAUUUGCCCUUAUACUUUUAUGCGUGUCUAAAAUUACUAUUUUUUUUUUGAGAGAAGAAAUUCAUUAGUGAGAAAGUUACAAAACACAAGCGAACACAAGGAGGAGACAAAUUACUAAACCUGAGCCAAUAGGCACACUCCAUAAACCCGAACUUACUGUCUGUAAUCCUCAUUUAUAUCAACAUAUGGUAUAAUUGCAACAUUCUUUGAAAGAGAUGCAAAGGAAAAAAACAUCUCAUUCCAUGUGGUUUGCAUAUAAGAAAGCUGCCCACACAAGUGGGUUGUCUUGUUGGCACACCUGACUAGUCCAAAAAAAUGACAGAUUUUUAAACUAUCUUUCAGCACUAAACAAUCAUGUAACAAUACACCUAGCUCAGACGCAUCAAUUAUUGGCGGAGUCCAAGCAGUCAUAACAGCCAAACAAUUAGACCCAAUGACCACAUUGUCGAAGAACAGAGCCUUUAGCCAUGACAACGCCUCCCGAAUGGCGUAAGCUACAUCAAUACAGGACUAAAUCUGGCGUACUCAAACCCCGAGAGACAUAACAACAUCCGCAUUAUUGACAUACAAUUAAAAGCAAUCAUACAUCAAAGCACACUUUCAAUAAAUUACACAAGCUUGAAAUGCCCUUGAUUCUUGUAUGAGUACUAAAACUAAACUUGAAGUUUAGAUCAAUUGAUUCAAGUAAUCUCUUUUGAAAAGUGGCAUUUGAUAGAUCUAAGAUCUGAAUCCUAUAUAAUCAACCACAAACACAAAUAAACCAUUUGUAACAAUUAAUUAAUUUUUAAAAUUUAAAAAAUUCUAACAAUUAUUUUUAAAUUUAAAAAUCAAAAUUAUUAAAAAUAUAUGAGGAUCAAAUUGAGACCAUUUGUAAAUUUUGAGGCUUAAUUUUUUAAAGAAUUUAACUAAAUUAAUAUAAUAUGUAAAAGUUGAGAGCUAAACUUGUUAUUAUCGAUUUUUUAAUUGCUACAUCAUCCUUUCUUCAGAGAGUUAACGAUACUUAACGGAAAUUGACUAAAAAAAUAUCUUGAUUGGUUGGGUGAUCAAAUUAAAAAAAUGAUAGAUAAUAAAAAAGUGACAUAUAACCUGUGGUAUAGUUUAGCUUGUAAAUAAAUAAAUCAAUAAAUCAUUAAAUGUUGUAAAAUCUUGCAGGUCUGCCGUCAAACUCUUUAAAUAUUACAAAGAUGAGGUUAUUAUUGAAAUCUAUUAGAGGUUUAGAAUUUUGGCUUAGCUCCCAAAAGUUGGAAUUGCCUGCAUAUAACGAAUAAUAAAGGUAGAAGCUUUUGCCCUUGCCCUAUCUAUGCCAUACAUCCUUUCUUAUUUAUAUAUGUUCAUUUUUCUUUUAACUAUUUGUGGAUGUAUGGUGGGUUAUCAUUGAUAGUUGUCAUACCUCCAUUGUUGAGAAAAUGGUGAAGGACAUGUAGCUUUGAGAUGCCUGUUUUGGAUUAAUUAUAGACAGGUCUCUAAGUUUUUGUCAAAAGUCAAAAGAAAGUGUCACGCGUCAUUAUUCAAGGCUAAUUUGUUACAACAACAAUCCGUUAGUGGGUUAGCGAAAUUUUUAACAGCAGUGACUAGUUCGAACAAUAAUAUUAAUUAGAGUGAGUAAAUUGAUAAAAAAAAUUAUAGUGGCCAUUGGUGUGGGUGGGUCUAAAUUUACUAAUUUUUUGAAAGAAAAAAAAUUCAUUAAUAAAAAAAGGUCACAAAAUAAUAGCAAACACAAAGAGGAGACGUACUACAAAACCGGAGACAAACAAAAUUCUACGAAGAAAGCUCCACUCCCACAUUCUUUAAGACUUUCUAGGUCUUAAAAGCUAAAGGAGAAAAAAAAGAAAGAAAAGGUAAUGGAAAACACGGAAUUUGAAUAAGAAAAGCAAAAUUUUGAAAAUAAAUCAAUUUAUCUUUAAUUCUACUUUAUUUAACUCAUAAACUUUUAUAUAUAAGUUUCCAAGAAAGGAGGAGGAAAAAGAGAAGGAAAAGAAAAUGGAAAGCACGAAAUUUGAGUAAGAAAAGCAAAAGUUUGAUAAGGAAUAGUACUUCAACUUCGAUUGAAAAUAAAUCAAUUUAUCUUUAUAUUCCUAUAUCAACCAAACAUAAUGUUUAGAAGCAGGUCAACUUAACCAGGUCUACGGAGUAAGAUAUUUUUCAGGGUAAAUUACACUAAGGUCACACUAAAAUGCGGUUUGUCCUAUUUUGGUCACUCUAAUUUUUUUUCUCAAUUUAGUUAUUUUCAUUAAAAUAAUUAUUCAAACUAAUCACUCGCGUUAAUCAAUUUGUCCCGUUAAAAUAUAAACGUAAUUUUUAAUCCACAAUACAACAAGCGAAUCACAUUCUAUACUCCCUGUCGAAACCAUUUUUUGAAAACAAAAAUAGAGUUGACUUUUAUUUUGAAAAUUAAAGUUGGUACCUUUGUUAGUCUAACUAUUAAAUCUAUGUUUAAACAAGGCUUAACUUAUAAGUUGGCAUCUAAACAUAUUUUUGCUCUUAAGUGGUACUUAAACUAUUCUUCUCUUACCCAUUUUACACCAAAAUGUUAUACCCAUUCAAUAAAAUUCCAGCUAAUAAUAAUCUGCCAUGUCAUAUAACUUAAUAUAUAUAUAUUUAAAAUUUUUACUUUUUUCUUUUACAUUUUUCUCUCUUUUUAUUUUUUUCCCCAUUCCCAUUCCCUUUUUCUUCUUCUUCUUAUUCUUCUUUUAUAAUGAAUGACAAUACUAGCGAUGCUCAAAAUUCACUCUCUCAAAGUUGAGAUGCUGUCAAUUGAUUAUAUUUUCAAAUUUCACCGCUUGCUUGUUCGAUUUGAUGAGACCAAAAAAGUUGUUUCAUCGACCAAAUCCCUUGUUUUCAAAACUAGAUAAUUGACCGGUUGGACUGGGAAUUUGUCGGGGUACUGGUUCUGAGAUAAUGGUUGAUGGAUUGACUUGCAAAAUUUUGAUAUCACUUGUGACAAAAAAUAAGUUCAAAUACCAAGAUGAGAAAAUUUUAAUUUAGGUACCAGUUUGUGGAUCAAGCCUAAAUUUUAUAAUCUCAUUUUGAAUAUCCUCUUGCUCUAUCCUUUUUCUUUUCCUUCCUACAUGUCAUGAGAUUUAUAAAAUCAUUUGAAAAAUUCGAAAUUAUUUUUUUCAUUCAAAAAUUCCAAAAAAACAUUAACAUUUGAAAAUGGUGCAUUCUGGUUUUUUUUUUAAAUUUAAAAAAUUUUCCAUCUAAAACAACAUAAGAGUCCAACAUUUUCAAUGAAAAUAAUUGAAAAAAAUGUCAUUUAAUCUUAAAUUAUCAUUAUAAAAUAUUUGAUUAAUAGUAAAAAUGUAGUUUAACAAAAACCAUUAAAUUCAGUGAUAAGAUUUUUUAGAAUAAAAUAAUGUUGUUCUACAUUGGCUUUAUGAAUAAUUGCUCUACAUUACUCGACGUUCCUACACUAUAAAUUUUAAUUUAAUAUUAUAUAGUAUAUCAAUUUAUUUAUUAACAUCAUUUUAGUAUUCAUUUCUACAUGAUUUAGUUGAAUCCAAUCAAAUGUUCAUUAGCCAUAGAUUGGUCUCUAUAAAUGGACUGUAGAAUCUUUAAAAUAUGAGCACAAUAACUAGUCAAAGAUUCUGUUGUAUAAAUUUGCCAACUCAAAUAUGAAAAGUAUGUUUACUACCUUAGCGGCUGUUUGUAAUAGGCACUAUUGAGUGCCAAUCAUCACAGAAGCACGCAACUUGUCUCAACAAAUAGUUUUAAUUAAGAAAAUGAAUUUUCAAGUAAUUAGUUUAAGAGUAUGUAAUGAAUUUAAUUUGUUUUAUAAAAGAUUUAAAUGAUAUAAUUAACUCUAUAUUAAAAAAAAUAACUUUAGCUUUUCCGUGCUUUUAUCAAUUGAGUUGGUGUCACUUGACUUAUGAUACUAAACUUAAUCAAACAUGUUAUUAUAGUAUAAAUAAUUAUCUUGUGACCAUAUACAUAUCUAUAUAUGAAAUAGUGAUCGUAUACAUAUAUAUGCACAUGAAGAACUUAAUUUUUAAAUCUAUCACUCAUCCGUUCAUUCUCUCUCUUAUAAUUGUCUUUUUACAUUAUAUUUUAAUAAUAUAUAAUGUGAUCAUAAAUUAAACCCUUAAUUGUAGGCUAAAUUAGCCAUAUAUGCCAAAAAAGUUUGUUAAUUGACUAAAUAGGUCAUUUUUUUUGAAAAUAUAGAGAAAUCGACCAUUUUUGGAUAGAGUGUGUGAAAGCUCGAUCAGCUGGGCGAGCUUUCUACUGACAUGUUAGGGAAAGUGCGCCAAGUAGAAAAUGUUUUUUGAAAAUUUCAAUGAAAAUGCGUCUAACUAGGCACAUUUUCCCUGACAUGUCAGCAGAAAAAUUCGCCUAGCUAGACAAGCUUUCUUGCCACUUCUGCAAAAAGCAUGUCUAGCUAGUGGAGCUUUCAUACACUCCCUCCAAAAAUGACUUAUUUCCCUAAAUUUUCAAAAAAUCGACUUUUAUGACCAAUUUAAUCAAAAUUUUUUUAUCAUUUUUGGAGGUGCCAAAGUGUAAUUUUACUAUUAGUAAUUUAAAUUUUAUAAACUAUAAAGGGGCCUAAAUGGAAAAUUUUUCAUUUUAAGGGGGCCGAAGCCCCUGCCAGCGCCUUGGCUCCGGCCCUAGUGCCACGUGUCAUAAUUCAAUUGGCUAAUGUGUCACAAUAGUAAUCUAUUAAUGGAUUAAUAGAAUUUUUAACGACAUUGACUAGUUCAAACAUUAAUAACAUUAAUUAGAGUGACUAAAUUGAGAAAAAAAUUAGCUAGAGUGACCAAAAUAGGACAAACUUAUUUUAUAGUGACCUUGGGUGUAGUUUACCCUUAUGCUUUUAUACGUGUCUAAAAUUACUAUUUUUCUAGAGAAGAAAUUAAUUAAUGAGAAAAGAAAAAAGCAAAAGUGAACACAAAGAGGAGACGGACUACUAAACCCAAGCCAACAGGCUUACCCCAUACACCCAAAUCUACCAUCCGCAAUUUGCAUUCGUAUAAACAUAAAACAUAAUUUCAACAUUCUUCAAGAAAGAUGCAAGGGAAAAAAAAUCCUAUUAUGUGUGGUUUGCAUAUAACAAAACCGCUAAUGCAAGCGAGUGGGCCGCUUUGUUGGCACACCAAGCGAGUUGACAGACGCAAAAACUAAUCUUUUAUCAUCAAACAAUCAUGUAGCAACACACCUAGCUCAGAUGCAUCAGUUAUACAUGCUUUUUUCCUACCAAACUACAUACCCAUAGUAGCCCAAAACACAAUAGAGUUUACCACAGAUAUGGUCUAGCUUUCGAUUGUUUGCAAUCCUCCAAGACCUAAUGAAAAACACGGGAGCCACUACACCCCAAAAUCCCAAUACAAAACCAGGAACUAUGCUGACAUAAAGCCAAUUCACUUUACUUCCUUCCCUGCUACUUCCAUUAUUUGAAACGUCAAUUGGAAUACCUUUUGAGGUGCAGUUCUUAGUGAGAGGAGGUCCCCAAAGUUUUCAAUGCCAUUAUUUCUCGACAUGAGCGGCUUGGAUGUUGUAGACAUAAAGUUUAACACCUUCUUUCACUGCGCAAGCUAUGGAACCAACUCCCAUAUCAAAGCAAUCCCACAAUGAAAAUUGCCCUGUUUGGGAUAACACCACUUUCUCUUCCCCAGCUAGUUUCCUGCACUUAUCAGAUAUAAUAUGAAAGAAAUGAAAAAGAAAAAUUUUAAAAACCAUACAUAGUACGUACCUACAUACAUAGGUAAAAGUACCAUAGAGCCUCUAUAUCAAAAAAAUGGACAAAUUAAUCCCAGUACAAUAGAUCAAAGAGUAAGCCGAUUCUUUCUAUUAAAAAUUUCAUCAAUUUUUACUAUUAAAAAUUAACGUAGUUGAUGAAACAACUAGACAAUUACAUGCACGUAAAAGCUAAGAAAAAAAAGCUAGAUAAAGUAAAUUCAAACAAGGAUGAAAGUUUUUUGCUAGCUCAUGAUGCUUCAACUUGAUUUUUAUGUAUAUAUACUCGCUCAAAAUCGAAUUUUAUUCAAUACUUUAGCUUUCUAUUUCGACCAUAACCCUUAAAAGAUUUAUCUAAUCCCAUGACCAUUCAUAUGAAAUUUUACAUAAUGUUUUAUAUUAUAUUAGCUUUUACAAAAUUAAUCCCAUUUAUAUGUUACAAAAUUAUAAAAAGUGACAUUUUAAUAAAUAAAUCUGAGCGAAACAGAAAUUGAUUCUAAAACUUUUAAUGAAAAACUCGGUUCACCUUGCUUCAAACUCAAUUUUUAAAAACAAAAAACCACCCUAUAUGGCUGGGGUGGAUGGAAUCUCGAUAACUUGAAAGGAUUUUUGUCAGGUAUGUAUUUCAUACGAGUAUAUUAAAACUUUUAUAAAUUGUUUCAUUUAUUUUUGAAAGAUUUUAUGCGCUCAUUCUCAUAUUUGAAUGUUCCGAAUCCAAAUAUAUACUUUAAAAUAAAAAAUAUAAAUAACUCUAAAUAGGUAUGCCAAUUUGAUCCAAAAAAGUUAACAAAGAAGAGAGAACAAUCAAGUACAUUAAAUUUUACAAACUUGAAAUUAACUUGGAGAUUUAAAUUUUCCAGACCAAAUGCAAAAACGAGGACGUUUUGUGGUUGUCACCUGUCUUACUGAGAAGGGUGAGUCCAAGGAUGAAGAACAACGGCUGAACUCUUUUUUUGUUGAGAUCCAUUGGCAACAGUUAGAAAAUGACAGAAAAAAAAUAGGCUAAUCCUAUUUACUACUAUUUUUGUUACUCCUAAUUUGAAGGAUCAAGGAGGAAGAAGACCAGAUCUAUGGCUGCAACGUCUACUCAAUUAUUAAGCUAAGCAACUGAUGGAAUUUAUCAAACAACAUUUUUUGCUGAAAAUUAUUUUCAUUGUAAAUUAUUGAAAUACAACAAAACCUAUUCAUACAUAAUCAAAACACACUUUGAUCCAAUCUCCAGUAAAUUAUACCAACAUGUUUAGACAUGUUUUUUUCCCAUCAAACUACAUACCCAUAGUAGCCCAAGAUACAUACAGCUUUCGACCAACAUGGUCCAACUUUCGAUAGUAUGCAUGCCUCCAAGACCUGAUGAAAAACAAGGGAGCCACUACAACCCAAAAUCCCAUUACAAAGCCGAGAACUAUGCUGACAUAAAGCCAAUUCACUUUACUUCCUUCCCUGCUCCUUCCAUUAUUUGCAACGUCGACAAUUGGAUUACCUUUUGAGGUGCAGUUCUUAGUGAGAGGAAGUCCGCAAAGAUGAUUGCCCACGUAAGACAAGUUUUCAAAGCUUUGAAGCUGAGUGCUUGUUGGGAUUUGUCCUGUCAAGUUGUUGUAGGACACAUUGAAGUGAUUCAAGAAAUUCAAAUUGGAGAAACUUGGAGGGAUUUCCCCAUUUAGUCGAUUCAUGGACAAAUCAAGAGAUUCUGAUGAAGUUGGCUCAGCAUGCAGCAAACUCGAUAGCAUGCAGGCCAUCAAGACCAAGUCAUGCAAGAGCUGCUGGAACGAGCUGAACUAUUCCUAUUUUGUUCAACUUGUAAUCUUAAGUUAAUGUAAUGUACUUUAGUUCAUUUAGAACUAUGUUAGGUUUAUGAUUGAUGUAUUUUGAUGACAAUUAAGCUGUUAAGUCAGCUUUGUUUAAGUGUGCAAGCUUAGUUUUUCAAGUUUCAAUGUAUUAGUUGUAGUAGGUGAUGAUUAGGUAUCAUUAUGCAGAUUUUGACAAGCAAAUUGCUUGGUUUAUGUAUUGGCAUUAUGCCAUUGUUCAGAAUAUGAAUAGAAUCAGUUUUUGUUCAUCAAUUUCCUCUCCAUUUUCUUAGCUUUUUCUUUCUUUCUUUAACUCGAAAUUGUUUGUUUGCUCAGCAAGUUUUAAGGCUUGCUCGACAAGAUACUUGCUGAGUCUGCUUGAUUCUGAUUCUUGCACCAACAAUUGGUAUCUAGAGCCUAUUUCUUAAGGGAUCUGUUACUCAAUUCCAUGGCUUCAUCAAGCUUUUCACCAGCUGCACCUCAAGUCUUCAAUGGAGAAGGCUAUCACAUAUGGGUGGUCAAAAUGAAGACCUACCUGCAGGCGUUCGAUCUGUGGGAGGUGGUCAACUUUGAUGUUGAACCAGAGCCACUUAGAGCUAAUCCAACAGUGGCUCAGAUCAGGCAGCAUGCUGAUGAAAGGACCAAGAGGCACAAAGCUAUGUCCUGCAUCCAAAACUCAGUGUCUGAUGUGAUUUUCACAAGGAUUAUGGCCUGUGAAUCACCAAAACAGGCCUGGGAUAAGUUGCAGGAAGAGUUUCAAGGGACAGAGAGGACAAGGCAGCAACAGUUGUUAAACUUGAGGAGAGAUUUCGAGAAUUUGAAGAUGAAGGAAGAAGAAACUGUCAAGCAAUAUUCUGACAGGAUUAUGGCUGUGGUUAACAGCAUCAGGCUCCUUGGAGAGCAGUUCAAUGAAGCUAGGAUAGUGGAGAAGGUUAUAGCAACUCUGCCUGAGAGGUAUGAGGCAAAAAUCUCAUCUCUCGAGGACUCAAGGGAUCUAUCCACCAUCUCCCUGACAGAGUUGAUCAAUGCUCUAUAUGCUCAAGAGCAGAGGAGAGCAAGCAGACUGGAGGAGCACCAAGAAGGUGCCUUUCAGGCAAGAGCAAAUACUGCCUACAAAGGCAAGAAGGCCUGGAGAGACAAGCCAAAGAAUGAUGCUGCAAGGAGAGAAGGCCAGACUUGCAAGCACUGUAGAAAGGCUGGUCAUUCAGAAGAAAAAUGCUGGUUCAAUCCAGAUGCUGUGUGUCAGCAUUGUAAGAAGAAGGGUCAUGUUGAGAGAGUCUGCAAGAGUAAGACCAAAUCGAGGCAGAAUCAGUUUCAACAGAUGAAAGCUGAGGCUCGAGUAGCUAAGGAGGACAGUGACCAAGAGGAGCAAGUCUUUGCUGUGUCAUGCUCAGCUGCUCAGGAAAGGUCCUCAUCUGGUUGGCUCCUAGACAGUGGAUGCACCAACCACAUGACACCUGAUGCUGCAAUCUUCAAGUCUUUAGACAGAAGCUGCAGAACUAAAGUCAAGAUAGGAAAUGGUCAUUUUAUCCAAGCUGAAGGCAAGGGUGAUGUGCUGAUAUGCACACUUACAGGUACCAAAGUGAUUUCAAAUGUGCUGUUGGUGCCUGAAAUUGACAGAAACCUGCUCAGCAUAGCUCAGUUGCUGGAAAAAGGUUAUUCAGUUGUGUUUAAAGACCACCAGUGCCAAAUCAGUGAUCCAAGUGGAUCCAAACUGAUGGCAGUCCCUAUGGCUGAUAAGAGCUUUGUGGUUGACUGGACAAAAAGGUCAGACAUUGCCUACACAGCCACUUCAGAUGAAUCCAAGCUGUGGCAUCAAAGAUUGGGACAUGCCAACUUCAGAUCGAUGGCUCGUAUGGUCAGAGAGGACCUGGCUGAAAAUUUCAUCAACUCAGUUGACCAUGAUGAUGUAUGUGAUGUAUGUCAGCUAGGAAAGCAGGCCAGACUCCCAUUUCCCUCGAAUCAAGCCUGGAGAGCCUCUGAAAAACUCCAACUGGUGCAUACUGAUGUGUGUGGCCCUAUGAAGACUGAGUCAUUAAGUGGAAACAGGUAUUUCAUACUGUUUAUUGAUGAUUUCUCGAGAUAUUGCUGGAUUUACUUUUUAAAACAGAAAUCUGAAGUGGCCUCAGUGUUUUGGAAGUUCAAGACUGCUUCUGAGACUGAAACAGGCUGCAAGCUGAAGACCAUAAGGUCUGAUAAUGGGACUGAGUACACCUCAGCUCAGUUCCAAGCCUUCUGUGAUAAGGCAGGCAUCAAACAUCAACUUACCAACACAUAUACACCUCAGCAGAAUGGGGUAAGUGAAAGGAAGAAUAGGAGUUUGAUGGAUAUGGCCAGGUGCUUGAUGAUUCAGAAAAAUCUGCCUAAAGCACUAUGGGCAGAAGCAGUUAACACUGCAACAUACAUUCAAAAUAGACUUCCAACCAAGGCUUUGGAUCAAAAGACCCCGUUCGAGGCCUGGUUUAGUUUCAAGCCAUCAUUGGCUCAUCUGAAGGUCUUUGGAUGCAUCUGUUAUGCACAUGUACCUGCUGUUAAAAGGGACAAAUUGUCUGAAAGGGCUCGACCUGGUGUUUUGGUGGGGUAUAGCACUGUUAAGAAGGGCUAUAGGAUUUUAGAUCCUUCAACAAACAAAGUAUCAAUAAGCAGGGAUGUGGUAUUUGAUGAGAGGUCAUGUUGGAACUGGGAAAGACAUGAACCUGAAGAAGUUUCUGAAGAACUUGCUGUAGACCAAGCUGAGCCAGAUCAAAAUGUCCCUGAAAUGGAUAUUGAUGAUGAACCAGUCAGAGGAACAAGGUCAUUGGCUGAGGUUUAUGAAAGGGCUCAUGUAGCCAUAGCUGAACCAAGCAACUUUGAAGAGGCUGAGGCUCAACAAGGGUGGAAGCAGGCAAUGGCUGAGGAGAUCAGCAUGAUUGAGAAGAACCAGACCUGGGAAUUGGUUGAAAGGCCAGUCAAAAGGAAGGUGAUUGGGGUAAAAUGGGUGUACAAAGCCAAGCAGAAUGCUGAUGGUACCUUGAACAAGUUAAAAGCAAGGCUAGUGGUCAAGGGGUUCAGUCAGAGAUAUGGCUUGGACUACUUGGAGACCUUUGCACCAGUGGCCAGGCUCGACACCAUCAGACUGCUGAUUGCCUUAGCAGCACAGCUCGAAUGGAAGAUUCAUCAACUUGAUGUGAAAUCAGCCUUUCUGAAUGGGUUCUUAGAUGAAGACAUCUAUGUUGAACAACCACAAGGGUUUGAAAUAGCUGGCAGAGAGCAUAUGGUCUACAAAUUGAAGAAGGCCCUAUAUGGCUUAAAACAGGCUCCAAGGGCCUGGUACAGCAGAAUCGAUGGCUACUUGACUGAUCUGGGAUUCAAUCGAAGCAAGAGUGAGCCAACACUGUAUGUCAAGAAGCAAGGGACACAAACACAACUCAUUGUGUCCCUAUAUGUUGAUGACCUGCUAGUGACAGGAGGAGAUCAAGCAGUGCUGGUUAAUUUCAAGACCAAGAUGCAAGAGGUGUUUGAAAUGUCUGAUCUUGGUGAGAUGUCCUAUUUUCUUGGAAUGGAGGUGACUCAAGCACAAGAUGGGAUAUUUUUAAGUCAGAAGAGCUUUGCCACAAAGAUUCUGACCAAGUUCUCCAUGCAAAACAGCAAACCAACUAAAACACCUGUUGCUGUUGGAGAAAAACUAUCGAGCCAAGGAGAUUUUGAGAAGGUAUGUGAAACUACCUACAGGAGUCUAGUUGGUUGUUUGCUAUACUUGACUGCCACUAGACCAGACAUAAUGUAUGCUGUAGGAUUGCUCUCAAGGUUCUUGCAUUGUUGCAAUGAGAAGCAUUUCCAGGCUGCCAAGAGAGUGCUCAGAUAUGUCAAAGGCACUUUGGACUAUGGCUUAAGGUACAGCAGGAAAGGAAAUCUAAAUCUAGUUGGGUACACUGAUAGUGACUGGGCUGGAUCGAUAGAUGACAUGAAAAGCACCUCAGGGUAUGCUUUUAGACUUGGUUCAGCCAUGUUCUGCUGGAGCUCGAAGAAGCAAAGUCUGGUGGCACAAUCUACUGCUGAAGCAGAGUAUGUGGCAGCAGCAAGUGCUGUCAAUCAAGCCAUUUGGCUUAGGAAAAUCCUGGCUGAUUUGAAUAUGGAUCAAAUGGAAGCAACAGAGAUUUUCUGUGACAAUCAAUCUGCAGUAGCAAUUGCUAAAAAUCCAGUGUUCCAUGGGAGAACAAAACAUUUCAGCAUCAAGUUGCAUGUUGUUCGAGAAAUGGAGCAAGCUCAGGAAGUAAAGCUGAUCCACUGUAAUUCAGAGGAUCAACUUGCUGACAUUUUAACCAAAGCUCUUAGUGUCACAAGGUUUGAAUAUCUAAGAAAGAUGCUAGGUGUUUGCUCCAUGCAAACCAAGAAGGAGUGAUGAAGUUGGCUCAGCAUGCAGCAAACUCGACAGCAUGCAGGCCAUCAAGACCAAGUCAUGCAAGAGCUGCUGGAACGAGCUGAACUAUUCCUAUUUUGUUCAACUUGUAAUCUUAAGUUAAUGUAAUGUACUUUAGUUCAUUUAGAACUAUGUUAGGUUUAUGAUUGAUGUAUUUUGAUGACAAUUAAGCUGUUAAGUCAGCUUUGUUUAAGUGUGCAAGCUUAGUUUUUCAAGUUUCAAUGUAUUAGUUGUAGUAGGUGAUGAUUAGGUAUCAUUAUGCAGAUUUUGACAAGCAAAUUGCUUGGUUUAUGUAUUGGCAUUAUGCCAUUGUUCAGAAUAUGAAUAGAAUCAGUUUUUGUUCAUCAAUUUCCUCUCCAUUUUCUUAGCUUUUUCUUUCUUUCUUUAACUCGAAAUUGUUUGUUUGCUCAGCAAGUUUUAAGGCUUGCUCGACAAGAUACUUGCUGAGUCUGCUUGAUUCUGAUUCUUGCACCAACAGAUUCCAUUAACUCCAUCUUGCCAAUGCUGUCUGGUAUAUUUCCUGUUAGGAGAUUUCCUGAAAAAUUUAAAGACAAUAGUCCAACGAGACUACCAAUUUCUUUGGGGAACUCUCCUGUGAGACUGUUAGCUGAAAGGUCCAUGCUCGUAACAAGUCCUAGUGUGCUACCAUAUUCAUCCUCUCGUCCUUUCAACACCAAUAAUGCGUUCAAAACAAUUGCGUCAGUAUAUACAUACUCCGCAAGAACAAAAUUAUUGGUUUUGUUUGUUGUGGCCAUUGCACUUAAACUAUUAAAACAUUUUGGAAUAACUCCAGAAAUGUUGUUGUGGGCAAGGUCCAAGUUUUGAAGAAAUUGAAGAUCACAAAUUUUAUGAGGAAUAUGUCCAUCAAAGUUAUUUGAUCGAAGGCUUAGAAUCACAAGUUUUGAGAGCUUAUCACCAAUCCAUGCUGGUACACUUCCACUGAAAUGAUUUUCACUAAGAUCAAACAUAACCAAAUAUGGAGAAUUUUGCAAUGUGGAAGGCAAUUCUCCAAACAUUGUAUUGUUUCGAAGGUUUAGCAUUAUAAGAUUUAGAUGCCAUAAAGAAGGUGGGAUUUUGCCGGUCAAAUUGUUGCUUCCCAAAUUUAGAAGGACCAAACUUUGCCAAUGAUUCCAACAAUCUGGAAUAUCUCCUGAGAUAAGAUUUUUAUCAAUGUAAAGAACUUCCGUCAAUUUCCCACUUGAUGAAUUACAAAGUAAUUCAAAAAGAGAUCCCGAAAAUGAAUUAUUUGAUAACAUUAGAAAUACUAAAGUUGGGAAUACUCUUGGCAAUGGGCCUAUGAAUCGGUUUGAACUCAAAUCAACAGAGCUUCUCACAUUCAAAUAUGAAAUGUCUCCUCUAAGUUGAUUCGAGGAAAGGUUUAAAGAUUCAAAUGGAGUGGGAAGGUUCAAAAACCAAGGGGGCAUGACAUCUGAAAUUCCUGCAUAGGAGAUAUCCAAAUAAGACAAUUUCUUUUGGAAUUUUAGCCACUGGGGAAACUUUGGGCCAAGAUGCCAGUGACCCAAUUCGAUCCUUUCACAUUGAAAUAGAGGAAUCCAGCUUGAGUUUGGUUCAAAUCUAAGCCGAUUGUGUGAUGCUGCUAGAGUUGUCAAUCUCGUGAGAUUAGAAAAAUGGGUUUCUGAUACAACUCCUUCUAAUAGAUUAUACCCACAAUCCAGAGUUUCCAAACUUUCUAGUCGUCCAAAAGAUAGAGGAAAAGUACCAUUUAAUUGAUUUUCUGAAACAUCAAAUACCUCCAAAGAUGAUAACUGUCCUAUAGACAAGGGAAUUUGGCCGUUUAAUUGAUUUUUUGAAACAUCAAACAACUUCAAAGAUGAUAACUCCCCUAUAGACAAUGGAAUUUGACCAUUUAAUUGAUUUUCUGAAACAUCAAACUCCUCCAAAGAUGACAACUGCCCUAUAGACAAGGGAAUUUGACCAUUUAAUUGAUUUUCUGAAACAUGAAACAACUUCAGAGAUGAUAACUCCCCUAUAGACAAUGGAAUUUGACCAUUUAAUUGAUUUUGUGCAAGAUAAAGCUGAAUAAGAGAGCUCAAGUUUCCAAUGGCACUCGAGAUUGUUCCUUGUAACUGGGUACCCCAAAGACUAAGGAACUGAAGACGGUUUAAACUAUACAAGGAUUUGGGUAUGGAUGAAUUGAGAAAACUUAAACUGAGAUCAAGAAUUUCAAGAAACGAGAUGUUCCCAAAGUAAUCUGGAAUUGGGCCUUCCAAAGAUUUGCUACCAAGAUCAAUGGACACAAGACCAUGAAGACUAAAUAUCCACUUAGGUACUGAAGAUAAGCUGUUCCCAGAAAGAUCAAGAACAACCAGUGAUUUUGUGGAAUUAACAUUGAUCGAAGAUGGAUCAUUGUCUAAACCACAACCUGACAAGUGCAACUCUAACAAAGAAGGAAGUUUGAGUGUUACCUGUACCCAAUCAUUUGCUGUAUGAAGAUCCGCAUAACUCAAAUCAAGGUACUGCAAGGAAGAAAGUCCAGAAACCCAUUGAAGAGUUUUUGAUUUGAGAUCAUUACCUCGAAGAUCAAGAUACUGCAACUUUGAGAGAUUCCCAAGGUUAUGAGGAAUUGUUCCCUGAAAUUGUGCUCGAGAGAGGUUAAGAUAUGUUAAACUCUCCAGCAAACCAACAAAUUUCGGGAUAUGUAUGCUGCUAAAAUUGUUAUUGCUCAAGUCCAGGGAACUGAGAUGCUUCAACUCCAGCAGUGAAGGAUUUAUUUUGCCUCCUAGCAGGGAAUUGUAGUAAGCUUCCCAUUCAGCAUUUGAUGCAAAGUAAUCGGGCUUUGAAAGAGGAGCGGCCAAGUGCAGUUGGUUAACGUGGCCUGUUGAGUUAUGGCAGACGACACCAGUCCAUUCACAGCAAUCCCCACCUUCAACCCAUGACGAUAGCCUGUUUGAAGGAUCAAUAAGAUGAUUCUUGAAUUUCAAAAGAGCUUCUCUCUCACUCUGAAUGCAAAGUAGGUUGGAAUUGGCAUGAGAAAUGGUAAAACAGAUAGCGGGAAUGAGAAGAAGGCAAG
RNAcentral lists this long non-coding RNA (18259 nucleotides) under Gossypium barbadense (sea-island cotton). RNAcentral describes it as "long non-coding RNA (GBAR_LNC021275)". Lineage: Eukaryota; Viridiplantae; Streptophyta; Magnoliopsida; Malvales; Malvaceae. The record is from RNAcentral.